RNAcentral lists this ribosomal RNA (253 nucleotides) under uncultured bacterium. RNAcentral's name for it is "partial 16S ribosomal RNA". It matches the Rfam family "Bacterial small subunit ribosomal RNA", at positions 524 to 776 of the family's 1533-position model. The record is from RNAcentral.
UACGUAGGGUGCAAGCGUUGUCCGGAAUUAUUGGGCGUAAAGAGCUCGUAGGCGGUCUGUCGCGUCGAAUGUGAAAACCCGGGGCUCAACCCCGGGCCUGCAUUCGAUACGGGCAGACUAGAGUUCGGUAGGGGAGUCUGGAAUUCCUGGUGUAGCGGUGAAAUGCGCAGAUAUCAGGAGGAACACCGGUGGCGAAGGCGGGUCUCUGGGCCAUAACUGACGCUGAGGAGCGAAAGCGUGGGGAGCGAACAGG